UACCUACGGGGGGCAGCAGUGAGGAAUACUGGUCAAUGGGCGGGAGCCUGAACCAGCCAAGUCGCGUGAGGGACGACGGUCCUAUGGAUUGUAAACCUCUUUUGUCUGGGAACAAAGGCGCCCACGGGUGGGCGGAUGAGUGUACCCGAAGAAAAAGCAUCGGCUAACUCCGUGCCAGCAGCCGCGGUAAUACGGAGGAUGCGGGCGUUAUCCGGAAUGAUUGGGCGUAAAGGGUGCGUAGGCGGCCUGCUAAGUCUGGAGUGAAAGGUACCGGCUCAACCGGUACAGGCUCUGGAAACUGGCGG
RNAcentral lists this ribosomal RNA (305 nucleotides) under uncultured bacterium. RNAcentral's name for it is "bacterial SSU rRNA". It matches the Rfam family "Bacterial small subunit ribosomal RNA", at positions 335 to 639 of the family's 1533-position model. The record is from RNAcentral.